UUUCUCUUCCGAACUCAGCACAGGGCAAGCUGGAACUUUGCACCAGCUCAGCAGAAGAGUGAUGUGUUCAGAGGAGACUGACUCCAAGACACUAAUCUGGGACUAAGGGAGCAGAUUUGACCAGCAAGGCUUCUCAUCAUCAUCAUAUGGCCUGCAGUUCAGGAAGCUUGUCAGGAUUCAUAUGUUCAUACUCGUGAGGAACUUUGAGCGUCUCAGAGAAAAG
Molecule: long non-coding RNA, 223 nt
Organism: Tachyglossus aculeatus (Australian echidna)
Lineage: Eukaryota; Metazoa; Chordata; Mammalia; Monotremata; Tachyglossidae
Exons: 3
Source: RefSeq, a predicted model, not a curated record